RNAcentral lists this ribosomal RNA (649 nucleotides) under uncultured bacterium. Its description in RNAcentral is "bacterial SSU rRNA". It matches the Rfam family "Bacterial small subunit ribosomal RNA", at positions 43 to 681 of the family's 1533-position model. The record is from RNAcentral.
CAGGCCUAACACAUGCAAGUCGAACGGGAUCCAAAGGCUUUUUGUUUUUGGUGAGAGUGGCGGACGGGUGAGUAACACGUGAGUAACCUGCCCCCUUCUUUUGGAUAACCGCAUGAAAGUGUGGCUAAUACAGGAUAAUCCAGGCUGGUCGCAUGAUUGGUUUGGGAAAUGGUUUGGUCUGGUGGGGGAUGGGCUCGCGGCCUAUCAGCUUGUUGGUGGGGUGAUGGCCUACCAAGGCGGUGACGGGUAGCCGGCCUGAGAGGGUGGGCGGUCACACUGGGACUGAGAUACGGCCCAGACUCCUACGGGAGGCAGCAGUGGGGGGAUUUUGCACAAUGGGCGCAGCCUGAUGCAGCGACGCCGCGUGAGGGAUGAAGGCCUUCCGGUUGUAAACCUCUUUCGCUGGGUUGAAAGGCCAUGCUUUGGGUGUGGGUGAUUUGAACUGGUAAAGAAAUACCGGCUAACUACGUGCCAGCAGCCGCGGUAAUACAUAAGGUACUAGCGUUGUCCGGAUUUAUUGUGGCGUAAAAGGCUUGUAUGUGGUUUGUCGCGUCUGUCGUGAAAUCCUGUGGCUUAACCAUGGGCUUGCGGUGGGUACGGGCAGGCUUGAGUGCGGUAAGGGGAGACUGGAAAUUCCUGGUGGUAGCGG